UACCCGCAGCACAAGUGGUGGUCAUUAUUAUUGGGCCUAAAGCGUCCGUAGCUGGCUUGUUAGAUGCCUGGGUAAAUCGAUGCGCUCAACGCAUCGAACUCCGGGUAGACCGGCAAGCUUGGGACCGGGAGAGGCGUGAGCUACUCGAGGGGUAGGGGUAAAAUCCUGUAAUCCUUCGGGGAGGACCAGUGGCGAAGGCGAGUCCCUGGACAAUACCUGACACUGAGGCACGAAAGCCAAGGGAGCAAACAGG
This 253-nucleotide ribosomal RNA is filed under the name uncultured bacterium. RNAcentral's name for it is "partial 16S ribosomal RNA". It matches the Rfam family "Archaeal small subunit ribosomal RNA", at positions 474 to 727 of the family's 1478-position model. The record is from RNAcentral.